CCUACGGGUGGCAGCAGUGAGGAAUAUUGGUCAAUGGCCGGAAGGCUGAACCAGCCAAGCCGCGUGAGGGAGGAAGGCGCAGAGCGUCGCAGACCUCUUUUGCCGGGGGACAAAAGGCCGGACUCGUCCGGUCCUGAGGGUACCCGGAGAAAAAGCAUCGGCUAACUCCGUGCCAGCAGCCGCGGUAAUACGGAGGAUGCGAGCGUUAUCCGGAGUGACUGGGUGUAAAGAGUUGCGUAGGUGGCAUAAUAAGUAGCUAGUGAAAUCUGGUGGCUCAACCAUUCAGACUAUUAGCUAAACUGUUAAGCUCGAGACCGUUAGGGGUAACUGGAAUUUCUAGUGUAGGAGUGAAAUCCGUAGAUAUUAGAAGGAACACCAAUAGCGUAGGCAGGUUGCUGGGACGGUUCUGACACUAAGGCACGAAAGCGUAGGGAGCAAACGGGAUUAGAUACCCUAGUAGUC
Molecule: ribosomal RNA, 462 nt
Filed under: uncultured bacterium
Lineage: Bacteria
Description: partial 16S ribosomal RNA
Rfam family: Bacterial small subunit ribosomal RNA
Source: RNAcentral